GAGGAGUAAGAGGCCCAAGAGGGCUGCAGACUGGCAGGGAAAGUGAAGAAUUGAAGGGUAGACCACUAACGAUAGCAGAGGAAAUAAAGGUAGAUGGUGGGCUAAGAAUAAUGGGAGAGGGAUUGACGAAAGAAGUAUGGGCUGAGGGAGGGAUGAUGGUGGAGGCCAGUGUGACCGAGGGGAGGGGAAAGGUGGAAGAAGCAGAGUGGGAUAGCGUCCUGGGAAAGAAGUGAAGGAGGUCGGUGGACCGCUAAGGGUUAGACUCCUAGAGGCUGGAGAGCGGCGCGUGGGGGAGGCGGGGCGCGGAGGGGGGGUUAAGGGGCGUUAGCAGCGCAUGCGCUGGAAGCACACUGCGGCGAUUCUGGAGAGGUUGUCCUUUUCUGGCAUCAGCGUUGCGGCUCGAGGCAAAGCUGGUCCUGUGCCUGCUGUCCAUUGCCGCUAAGGCCUGCUGCUGCCAUUCAGGCGUGUCUCUCUCUCUCUCUCUCUUUCAUGCCGCUCUCUCCACCCCAUCUUGGGACGGCCAGCUCUAAGAAUUCCUGCUACGACACUGAAUUCAACCAGGAGGUGAUGCCACACUCAAUCAGAAACUAUGCUACUGCUGAAGAGGUAUAUUGAGCCCUGCCUGGUUAACCUCCAGUGAGGUUAUUAGAGAAUUGGGAGAGGCUCAAAUCAGCAUCCUGCACCUAGUUAUCAAACCAUUGUGAAGUCUUGAUUCCUGGAUGGCCAGAAAACUUGUCAUUGGUCAAGAGCAACAUUAAGAUCUGCCUGUUACUCAUACUGAUGCUUCCUGCCCAGCAAGUUCAUCAGAGGGCGAGGAUGAAUUACGGUUGCCAUGAAUGUCCUUGUGAGGCAGUUGGGAAGCCUUGGCUGGAUUGUGAAGGAUAUUUGAAAAGUAUUUUAGAGUCCACCAGAUCAUCCAUGUGAGUGACCAUGCAGCAAAAGAAGGAGGGUCCUCUCAGUGAUUAAGGUAACAUAGUGAUUAAGGAUUAUGAAGUAUUAAUUCUUCCACUGAUAUCUCAAAAGGUGAUCUGGACAAAGGAACAGGUAUCUCAGCUUCCAAGUUUGCUGGAGCCAUGUUUUCUCUAAUGUCCCCACAGAACAGUGGUUGGUAGGAUGGCG
RNAcentral lists this long non-coding RNA (1119 nucleotides) under Homo sapiens (human). Its description in RNAcentral is "HSALNT0283738". The record is from RNAcentral. Lineage: Eukaryota; Metazoa; Chordata; Mammalia; Primates; Hominidae.